RNAcentral lists this ribosomal RNA (407 nucleotides) under uncultured rumen bacterium. Its description in RNAcentral is "bacterial SSU rRNA". It matches the Rfam family "Bacterial small subunit ribosomal RNA", at positions 354 to 776 of the family's 1533-position model. The record is from RNAcentral.
GUGGGGAAUAUUGCACAAUGGGCGAAAGCCUGAUGCAGCAACGCCGCGUGAAGGAUGAAGGUCUUCGGAUCGUAAACUUCUGUCCUUGGGGAAGAAGCUAGUGACGGUACCCAUGGAGGAAGCCCCGGCUAACUACGUGCCAGCAGCCGCGGUAAUACGUAGGGGGCAAGCGUUAUCCGGAAUUAUUGGGCGUAAAGAGUGCGUAGGUGGCUUUUUAAGCGCAGGGUUUAAGGCUAUGGCUUAACCAUAGUUCGCCCUGCGAACUGAAGAGCUUGAGUGCAGGAGAGGAAAGCGGAAUUCCUAGUGUAGCGGUGAAAUGCGUAGAUAUUAGGAGGAACACCAGUGGCGAAGGCGGCUUUCUGGACUGAAACUGACACUGAGGCACGAAAGCGUGGGGAGCAAACAGG